RNAcentral lists this transfer RNA (73 nucleotides) under Enterobacter hormaechei subsp. oharae. Its description in RNAcentral is "tRNA-Arg". It matches the Rfam family "tRNA". From Rfam's summary of the family: Transfer RNA (tRNA) molecules are approximately 80 nucleotides in length. Their secondary structure includes four short double-helical elements and three loops (D, anti-codon, and T loops). Further hydrogen bonds mediate the characteristic L-shaped molecular structure. tRNAs have two regions of fundamental functional importance: the anti-codon, which is responsible for specific mRNA codon recognition, and the 3' end, to which the tRNAs corresponding amino acid is attached (by aminoacyl-tRNA synthetases). tRNAs cope with the degeneracy of the genetic code in two manners: having more than one tRNA (with a specific anti-codon) for a particular amino acid; and 'wobble' base-pairing, i.e. permitting non-standard base-pairing at the 3rd anti-codon position. Lineage: Bacteria; Pseudomonadati; Pseudomonadota; Gammaproteobacteria; Enterobacterales; Enterobacteriaceae. The record is from RNAcentral.
UUGCCUGUAGCUCAGAGGAAAGAGCACCCGCCUUCUAAGCGGUUGGUCGCUGGUUCGAAUCCAGCCAGGGUAU